UGAGGAAUAUUGGUCAAUGGGCGAGAGCCUGAACCAGCCAAGUCGCGUGAAGGAUGAAGGAUCUAUGGUUCGUAAACUUCUUUUAUAAGGGAAUAAAGUGUGGUACGUGUACCAUUUUGUAUGUACCUUAUGAAUAAGGAUCGGCUAACUCCGUGCCAGCAGCCGCGGUAAUACGGAGGAUCCGAGCGUUAUCCGGAUUUAUUGGGUUUAAAGGGUGCGUAGGUGGCUUUUUAAGUCAGCGGUGAAAGUUUGUGGCUCAACCAUAAAAUUGCCGUUGAAACUGGAGGGCUUGAGUAUAUUUGAGGUAGGCGGAAUGCGUGGUGUAGCGGUGAAAUGCAUAGAUAUCACGCAGAACUCCAAUUGCGAAGGCAGCUUACUAAACUAUAACUGACACUGAAGCACGAAAGCGUGGGGAUCAAACA
RNAcentral lists this ribosomal RNA (422 nucleotides) under uncultured bacterium. RNAcentral describes it as "bacterial SSU rRNA". It matches the Rfam family "Bacterial small subunit ribosomal RNA", at positions 355 to 774 of the family's 1533-position model. The record is from RNAcentral.